GAUGAACGCUGGCGGCGUGCCUAAUACAUGCAAGUCGAGCGAACAGACGAGGAGCUUGCUCCUCUGACGUUAGCGGCGGACGGGUGAGUAACACGUGGAUAACCUACCUAUAAGACUGGGAUAACUUCGGGAAACCGGAGCUAAUACCGGAUAAUAUAUUGAACCGCAUGGUUCAAUAGUGAAAGACGGUUUUGCUGUCACUACUGGUGGGUUCCGCGCCGCAUUAGCUAGUGGGUAAGGUAACGGUUUACCAAGGAAACCAUGCGUAGCCGACCGGAGAGGGUGAUCGGCCACACUGGAACUGAGACACGGUCCAGACUCCUACGGGAGGCAGCAGUAGGGAAUCUUCCGCAAUGGGCGAAAGCCUGACGGAGCAACGCCGCGUGAGUGAUGAAGGUCUUCGGAUCGUAAAACUCUGUUAUUAGGGAAGAACAAAUGUGUAAGUAACUAUGCACGUCUUGACGGUACCUAAUCAGAAAGCCACGGCUAACUACGUG
Molecule: ribosomal RNA, 497 nt
Filed under: uncultured bacterium
Lineage: Bacteria
Description: partial 16S ribosomal RNA
Rfam family: Bacterial small subunit ribosomal RNA
Source: RNAcentral